Molecule: ribosomal RNA, 311 nt
Filed under: uncultured eukaryote
Lineage: Eukaryota
Description: partial 18S ribosomal RNA
Rfam family: Eukaryotic small subunit ribosomal RNA
Source: RNAcentral
CCCUUAGAUGUUCUGGGCCGCACGCGCGCUACACUGUUCGACGCAGCGAGUCUUAACCUUGACCGAAAGGUUUGGGUAAUCUUCAGCAAAGUCGAACGUGAUGGGGAUCGAUCAUUGCAAUUAUUGAUCGUGAACGAGGAAUUCCUAGUAAGUGCAAGUCAUCAGCUUGCGCUGAUUACGUCCCUGCCCUUUGUACACACCGCCCGUCGCUACUACCGAUUGAAUGGUUUAGUGAGGCCUUCGGAUCCGCGACUCGUUUUGUGGAGAAGUUGGACAAACUCAGUCAUUUAGAGGAAGUAAAAGUCGUAACA